GUAUGAAGUUGAAUUAAAUGAGAGAGUCCAGUGGGAAUAGCCUAUCUUUGGGAGAAAUCUGCUUCACGCCUUCGCCCUACUACCUACUAGCUGUAUGCUCUGCACC
Molecule: non-coding RNA, 106 nt
Organism: Callorhinus ursinus (northern fur seal)
Lineage: Eukaryota; Metazoa; Chordata; Mammalia; Carnivora; Otariidae
Source: RefSeq, a predicted model, not a curated record